This 1281-nucleotide ribosomal RNA is filed under the name uncultured fungus. Its description in RNAcentral is "eukaryotic LSU rRNA". The stretch from base 596 to 1281 matches the Rfam family "Eukaryotic large subunit ribosomal RNA", at positions 1 to 667 of the family's 3401-position model. The record is from RNAcentral. Lineage: Eukaryota; Fungi.
CUUGGUCAUUUAGAGGAAGUAAAAGUCGUAACAAGGUUUCCGUAGGUGAACCUGCGGAAGGAUCAUUAUUGAAAUAAAUCUGAUGGGUUGUUGCUGGCUCUCUAGGGAGCAUGUGCACGCCUUGUCAUCUUUAUAUCUCCACCUGUGCACCUUUUGUAGACCUUUCAGGUCUAUGUUGCUUCAUUUAUACCCCAAUGUAUGUUAAUAGAAUGUUGUGCCUAUAUUAUAAUAUAUACAACUUUCAGCAACGGAUCUCUUGGCUCUCGCAUCGAUGAAGAACGCAGCGAAAUGCGAUAAGUAAUGUGAAUUGCAGAAUUCAGUGAAUCAUCGAAUCUUUGAACGCACCUUGCGCUCCUUGGUAUUCCGAGGAGCAUGCCUGUUUGAGUGUCAUUAAUAUAUAUCAAACCAACCUUCUCUUGUUGAUUGGUUUGGAUGUGGGGGUUUCUUUUUUGCUGGCCUGUUCAGCUCCCCUGAAAUGCAUUAGCAGAACAAAAAAAAACCCUGGUUCAUUGGUGUGAUAAACUAUCUACGCUAUUGAAUGUGAGGGGGAAAAGUUCAGCUUUCCAACCGUCCUUUGGACAAUUCAUCAUUAAUGUGACCUCAAAUCAGGUAGGACUACCCGCUGAACUUAAGCAUAUCAAUAAGCGGAGGAAAAGAAACUAACAAGGAUUCCCCUAGUAACUGCGAGUGAAGCGGGAAAAGCUCAAAUUUAAAAUCUGGCGGCCUUUUGGCUGUCCGAGUUGUAAUCUAGAGAAGUGUUAUCCGCGCUGGACCGUGUACAAGUCUCCUGGAAUGGAGCAUCAUAGAGGGUGAGAAUCCCGUCUUUGACAUGGACUGCCAGGGCUUUGUGAUGCGCUCUCAAAGAGUCGAGUUGUUUGGGAAUGCAGCUCAAAAUGGGUGGUAAAUUCCAUCUAAAGCUAAAUAUUGGCGAGAGACCGAUAGCGAACAAGUACCGUGAGGGAAAGAUGAAAAGAACUUUGGAAAGAGAGUUAAACAGUACGUGAAAUUGCUGAAAGGGAAACGCUUGAAGUCCGUCAUGUCAUCCAGGGAUCAACCUUGCUUUUGCUUGGUGCACUUCCUGGUUUGACGGGCCAGCAUCAAUUUUGACCGUUGGAAAAAGGCUAGGGGAAUGUGGCAUCUCUGGAUGUGUUAUAGCCCUUGGUCACAUACAAUGGUUGGGAUUGAGGAACUCAGCACGCCGCAAGGCCGGGUGUUCGCACCACGUACGUGCUUAGGAUGCUGGCAAUAUGGCUUUAAUCGACCCGUCUUGAAACACGGACC